UGACGAUAAUAGCAAACUUAUCGAAAGGUAAGGACGCAAAGCCAUGGGUCUAAAGAUAAUAAAUUAUUCAAUGAUAGCCAGGUUGCCGAA
RNAcentral lists this non-coding RNA (90 nucleotides) under Clostridium cylindrosporum. RNAcentral describes it as "c-di-GMP sequence". It matches the Rfam family "c-di-GMP-I riboswitch aptamer". Rfam says of the family: GEMM was predicted in a large-scale screen for bacterial structured RNA regulatory elements. The record is from RNAcentral. Lineage: Bacteria; Bacillati; Bacillota; Clostridia; Eubacteriales; Clostridiaceae. RNAcentral also lists the same sequence under 1 other name.